GGGGCCGAGUCGUCUCGGUCUCGGCCGAGACUUCGAACCAUGUUCCUAAUCUUAAAAUUGCGUUAAUAGUGGAGGCAAGGAAUUUCUGAGGGGGACACGUACCCAAAUGUUUGCCAUUUCUGUGAACUUGUCUUUCAAUUUCAUUUGCCAACGGUCAUAGGUUUCUAAUACAAAUAAUGAACUACGAACUUAAAAGCCUAUUUUCUUGACCCUAACUUAUCAUGACGCACAAAAUGCCAUAAGCAGAGCAUAAUCUAUUGAUUAACACACGCGGCCAGCUAUAAACCCUCGUAGUAUUACCUA
Molecule: long non-coding RNA, 303 nt
Filed under: Coffea arabica (coffee)
Lineage: Eukaryota; Viridiplantae; Streptophyta; Magnoliopsida; Gentianales; Rubiaceae
Description: long non-coding RNA (CARA_LNC007590)
Source: RNAcentral